Molecule: transfer RNA, 73 nt
Filed under: Armatimonadota bacterium
Lineage: Bacteria; Bacillati; Armatimonadota
Description: Armatimonadetes bacterium (groundwater metagenome) tRNA-Met
Rfam family: tRNA
About the family: Transfer RNA (tRNA) molecules are approximately 80 nucleotides in length. Their secondary structure includes four short double-helical elements and three loops (D, anti-codon, and T loops).
Source: RNAcentral
CGCGGGGUGGAGCAGUCUGGUAGCUCGUCGGGCUCAUAACCCGGAGGUCGUGGGUUCAAAUCCCACCCCCGCU